GGGGUGUGCCCGCGCCUCACACAAAGGCGGCGGUUGGGCGGGAGGCGCAUGCGCAGGGAGGGGUUGGCGCACCCACGUGGUGCUGGGUGAGUUCUACAGCUUCUCCAGCCAUUCUAUUUCUGCACACUAGUUGGUUUUGUUGUCAUCUUUUUUGCAAGAUCAUCUCCUUUAGAGGCUUAUUGUGGAGACUGAAAAUUCUGCAGAACGUGGUGUUUCUAUUUGGAGGACAGUUCUACAUCCAGUUACUUAAUCUGAAAAGGAACAGCAGGAUAAAUAAUCACAGAGGGGAUUUGAAGUGUUGAUGUAGAAUUAUGAGGAUCAAAAAAAGAAAUGGGAAGAUGGUAUCUACCCUGGGAGUCUGGAGAUGCUCAUGCUCUUGAGUUUUGUUGCAACACAGAAAUAAAGGGUAAGUCCUGCCACUGCUGAUAGUACACUUUGCAAGUUCUCUUCGUGAGUGUAGAUCAGCUGCUGAUACCAGUAGCUUGUUACUGCUGUAUUCAAACACUGAUGAUUCUGAUUGAUAUGAUUUGCUCAGGGUACAGAGUGCUGAAGUUCCCUUGUGCUCCAGUGGGCUGAGAGUGUCUUACAUGCAUAUUUCUUCUGCCUAGUCUGGUUUUCCUUAAGUUAGUGCAUUUCCUUUGGUAUGUGUUAACUGUUAAAUGGAAACACCCCAUUUCAGGUAAUUUUGUUGAACGUGGAAGAUCGGGUGCAGGAAGGAGUUUCAUAGUUGCACAGAUCUAUUAGGAAGCUCAUUCCAACCAAGCACGUUUUUUCUUAGCCUGGAGUUUUGUGGUAGUGCUUUUUUUUGUCCUUCCAGGGCUAACCACUCAGCCUAUUCAAUCUUGAUUUACAGAUCUUUAACUGCAAUUUAUUAGUUCUUUAAUAUUUUCCAGGUGCAUGUUGUGGUUCUGCUCCUGACACAGCUCUUUUGCCAUGCAGGAAGCCUCUGAGGAAGGCUGCCUUUCUAAAGAUUAGAUCCAAGUUGAUGGAAGUAAUCCCAGCUGACUUGGGCAGCGCUAGGUCAGACCAUAAACCAGGUGCUGUUGCCCUGCAGCUAACUGAAAAACAUGGCUUCAAUGUGAGAAGUAACUGAAGCACACAUUGGCAGUGGGUGGCAGAAGGGCCCAAGGUUUCAAAAGCAAACUGCAUGGGACCGCUGAAGAAACAGUCCAUUGAAAACCCACCUCAUGUAAGUUUUAGGCAAAGGUGGUCUCCAGCCCUUUCAAGCAGAAUUUCAAGUUGCUGAGCUCAUCCUCCAGCACCACUUGGUACUACUCAGGGUAGCACUUCCAUUGCCAGGAUCCAGCUCAGUAGAACAGUCCAUCUUUGCUCUCAUCAUUUGGCCCAAGCACACCUCAGCACCCAGCAAGUUCCCUCAUUCCUACUGAAGAGAUGGGAAUCCAGUGUUCAUCCUGAGUACCCUGCUACACCUUCUGCUUCCGUUUCCAUUUGCAAGAAGUGUUUGCUGCUUCUGUGGAAUUUAUUAAAGAUUUCUUUAAUAAAACUACUGUUG
Molecule: long non-coding RNA, 1513 nt
Filed under: Gallus gallus (chicken)
Lineage: Eukaryota; Metazoa; Chordata; Aves; Galliformes; Phasianidae
Source: RNAcentral